RNAcentral lists this unclassified non-coding RNA (368 nucleotides) under Hevea brasiliensis (rubber tree). Lineage: Eukaryota; Viridiplantae; Streptophyta; Magnoliopsida; Malpighiales; Euphorbiaceae. The record is from RNAcentral.
GAUACUAGACAUAUAUCCUCUUCACCAUACCCCAUAGACCGGGCAAUCUUUUUAAAUGAGUGGAACUUCUUCUCAGGAACAUAAACGUUUUCUUGAUAAACCUCAUCAGCCAAAAGAACAAGGCCUUCUUGCUUGCAGAACUCUACAAUUGCUCGCUGGUUGUCCUCAGCAAGAACCUGCCCUGUUGGGUUGCCUGGAUUUAUUACAACUAAGGCUCUGACUGUGAUACCUUUAGACUUUGCAUCCUCUAACUGCUUCUUAAGCUCAGAAAUUUCCAAUCCCCACCCAGUUGCUUCAUCAAGAUAAUAUGGAACCAGACUACCUCCAUGGAGAGCAAUCGAAGCAGAGUACAAGGGGUACUGAGGAAU